UACGUAGGGGGCAAGCGUUGUCCGGAAUUAUUGGGCGUAAAGAGCUCGUAGGCGGCUUGUCGCGUCGGCUGUGAAAACCUGGGGCUCAACCCCAGGCCUGCAGCCGAUACGGGCAAGCUAGAAUUCGGUAGGGGAGACUGGAAUUCCUGGUGUAGCGGUGAAGUGCGCAGAUAUCAGGAGGAACACCGGUGGCGAAGGCGGGUCUCUGGGCAGUAACUGACGCUGAGGAGCGAAAGCGUGGGGAGCGAACAGG
This 253-nucleotide ribosomal RNA is filed under the name uncultured bacterium. RNAcentral describes it as "partial 16S ribosomal RNA". It matches the Rfam family "Bacterial small subunit ribosomal RNA", at positions 524 to 776 of the family's 1533-position model. The record is from RNAcentral.